Molecule: ribosomal RNA, 496 nt
Filed under: uncultured bacterium
Lineage: Bacteria
Description: bacterial SSU rRNA
Rfam family: Bacterial small subunit ribosomal RNA
Source: RNAcentral
GAUGAACGCUAGCUACAGGCUUAACACAUGCAAGUCGAGGGGAAACGAUAUUGGAAGCUUGCUUCCGAUAGGCGUCGACCGGCGCACGGGUGAGUAACGCGUAUCCAACCUGCCCAUCACUUGGGGAUAACCUUGCGAAAGUAAGACUAAUACCCAAUGACGUCUCUAGAAGACAUCUGAAGGAGAUUAAAGAUUUAUCGGUGAUGGAUGGGGAUGCGUCUGAUUAGCUUGUUGGCGGGGUGACGGCCCACCAAGGCGACGAUCAGUAGGGGUUCUGAGAGGAAGGCCCCCCCACAUUGGAACUGAGACACGGUCCAAACUCCUACGGGAGGCAGCAGUGAGGAAUAUUGGUCAAUGGACGAGAGUCUGAACCAGCCAAGUAGCGUGCAGGAUGACGGCCCUAUGGGUUGUAAACUGCUUUUAUAGGGAAUAAAGUGAGUCUCGUGAGACUUUUUGCAUGUACCUUAUGAAUAAGGACCGGCUAAUUCCGUGCCAG